GCGUUUGUAGUCCAAGGGUUAGGAUAAUUGCCUUCCAAGCAAUAGACCCGAGUUCGACUCCCGGCAGAUGCA
RNAcentral lists this transfer RNA (72 nucleotides) under Tetracentron sinense. It matches the Rfam family "tRNA". Rfam says of the family: Transfer RNA (tRNA) molecules are approximately 80 nucleotides in length. The record is from Rfam by way of RNAcentral. Lineage: Eukaryota; Viridiplantae; Streptophyta; Magnoliopsida; Trochodendrales; Trochodendraceae.